Long non-coding RNA from Asterias rubens (European starfish), 1298 nucleotides. RefSeq lists it as uncharacterized. Lineage: Eukaryota; Metazoa; Echinodermata; Asteroidea; Forcipulatida; Asteriidae. The transcript has 16 exons. The record is from RefSeq and is a predicted model, not a curated record.
CGUGGUUCUUCGGCGAGAUCAUUUCAUGACGAAUAGUUUGACAUUCAAGAGUGAUGACUUCGUGCAGAAUAGCAGCUGGUUUGAAGACUGCUGGAGGUUUCAAAAUGAUCAGCACAAAUAUCUGCCAGCCUGUCUACAAAUCAAAUGUUGUUUUUGACAGUAGCGGAAAAUGUCGUCGCAAGCAGCUGUUCUUUGAUGUUUGCAAACGACCAACCGAUAAAUAAUCUACAUCAGAAAUGACAACUCAAAGUCAAAUUCUUCAAAGAUGGCUUGAAAACUAAGUGGGAUGUUGUCAUCCAUGGAAGUGCCUUCUAAGAUGGUCAAUUUCUUCAAAGCUGACUUGAAGACUAGGUGGGAAAUUGUCAGCCAUGGAAGUGCCUCCUAAGAUGGAUGAAUGGGUAAAUUUCUUCAAAGAUGAUGAGAUUGAUGUGAAGACUUUUUGGGAAAUUGUCAUCCAUUGAGGUGCCUCCUAAGAUGGUGCAAGAGUUUUGUGCCGACUUUCAGCAGCAUGUUCAAGUCUUGUCAAACCUCCAGGGUACAACAGUUUUGUGCCGUCUGUUUCAGCAACAUGUCAAAGCCUUAUCAUACACUCCAGGGUUUGUUCUCGAAACUCAAGAGGGCCUCUGUCGUCAAUAAUGAAGCUGUCGAGUAAACUGGAUUUGCAGAAGGAACAAGACUAAGAUGGAUCAAAGGGAGUCAUGUGCAUCAAUAAUCGCCUUAAAUCAUCAAGUCUCGCUUGGCUUUGCUUGGAAGGGAAGUUUCAUUGCCAAAGAUUUCCACUUUAAGAUAACAUCUUUGCUGGCUGAACUCGGCUUUGGUUUCUUCCACGUGAUUUCAUCAUUUGGUUGCUGCUGAACCGUCUUUGUUUUCCUUUACGCAAUUUCAUUAUUUGGUUGCUGCUGAACCGUCUUUGUUUUCCUUUACGCAGUAUCGUCUUUACGAAGAUGAGGAUUGCGGAACUCUUGAAGCAUUUUCUUCUGUUUGGUUGACGCACAAUUGGAGAAAGCUCAUGCUGAAAGAACAAUUUGGUGGAUUCAACUUGUAACCUGUGAAAAUUUAAUUUCAAAAGGCGGUUGCGUUUGUGAUUUAUCGUCGAAAAUCCGAAUCGAAUGUGCCCUGCAGGAAUAAAGAUUUAAAAUUGGAAAACACAAUCUGUGAGGCAUUACUCAAAAUCUUUGUACUAUCCUAUGGAAAGCUGCUUCACUUCUAAGUUCUUACAAUCGAGUUUUUGUUUACAUGUUUUAAAGGCACUGGACAUAAUUAUUAAUAUAAAACUCAAAAGACGUUUUAGCAUAAAA